This 313-nucleotide long non-coding RNA is filed under the name Vitis vinifera (wine grape). Its description in RNAcentral is "long non-coding RNA (VVIN_LNC008136)". The record is from RNAcentral. Lineage: Eukaryota; Viridiplantae; Streptophyta; Magnoliopsida; Vitales; Vitaceae.
UUCCAUCUCACUGAAUCCUCCUCAGGAGAAGUCCUGAAGUCCCUCAGCAGAUUCAGCAUAUCUCCUAUCUGAUCCAGCUCCUAAUCAUUGAAAUCUCUAGCCAAGCUGAGAUUCCAACCUCCUUGACCCAGGCUAGAGUCCCACACUUCACUUACUUUGGCAUUCCUAUGACCCGCCAAGGUAAACAGCUGUGGAAAAGUUUGGGAUAGCGCCUCAUUACCACACCACUUAUCCGUCCAGAACAAAACUUUAGUCCCCUUCCCUACCUUAAAUUCAAUGCUCUCCCAGCACCAAUCAGCCUCCUUCAUGAUCU